AUACGGAGGGUGCGAGCGUUAAUCGGAAUUACUGGGCGUAAAGGGUCCGUAGGCGGUCUGCUUAGUCUGAUGUAAAAGCCCCGGGCUUAACCUGGGAAUGGCAUUGGAUACUGGCGGACUAGAGUCUGGGAGAGGGUGGUGGAAUCCCCGGUGUAGCGGUGAAAUGCGUAGAUAUCGGGAGGAACACCAGUGGCGAAGGCGGCCACCUGGACCAAGACUGACGCUGAGGGACGAAAGCGUGGGGAGCAAACAGGAGUAGAAACCCUAGUAGUCC
This 274-nucleotide ribosomal RNA is filed under the name uncultured bacterium. Its description in RNAcentral is "partial 16S ribosomal RNA". It matches the Rfam family "Bacterial small subunit ribosomal RNA", at positions 523 to 796 of the family's 1533-position model. The record is from RNAcentral.